RNAcentral lists this ribosomal RNA (499 nucleotides) under uncultured bacterium. RNAcentral's name for it is "bacterial SSU rRNA". It matches the Rfam family "Bacterial small subunit ribosomal RNA", at positions 29 to 507 of the family's 1533-position model. The record is from RNAcentral.
ACGAACGCUGGCGGCGUGCCUAAUACAUGCAAGUCGAGCGGAAUGAUGAAGAAGCUUGCUUCUUCUGAUUUUAGCGGCGGACGGGUGAGUAACACGUGGGCAACCUACCUUGUAGAUUGGGAUAACUCCGGGAAACCGGGGCUAAUACCGAAUAAUCCAUUUUGCUUCAUGGCGAGAUGUUGAAAGACGGUUUCGGCUGUCACUACAAGAUGGGCCCGCGGCGCAUUAGCUAGUUGGUAGGGUAAUGGCCUACCAAGGCGACGAUGCGUAGCCGACCUGAGAGGGUGAUCGGCCACACUGGGACUGAGACACGGCCCAGACUCCUACAGGAGGCAGCAGUAGGGAAUCUUCCACAAUGGACGAAAGUCUGAUGGAGCAACGCCGCGUGAGUGAAGAAGGUUUUCGGAUCGUAAAACUCUGUUGUAAGGGAAGAACACGUACGAGAGUAACUGCUCGUACCUUGACGGUACCUUAUUAGAAAGCCACGGCUAACUACGUG